RNAcentral lists this ribosomal RNA (908 nucleotides) under uncultured bacterium. RNAcentral describes it as "bacterial SSU rRNA". It matches the Rfam family "Bacterial small subunit ribosomal RNA", at positions 1 to 876 of the family's 1533-position model. The record is from RNAcentral. RNAcentral also lists the same sequence under 1 other name.
UGGAUCCAGACUUUGAUUAUGGCUCAGGACGAACGCUGGCGGCGUGCCUAAUACAUGCAAGUCGAACGAAGCUUUCUUUCACCGAAUGCUUGCAUUCACUGAAAGAAGCUUAGUGGCGAACGGGUGAGUAACACGUAGGCAACCUGCCCAAAAGAGGGGGAUAACACUUGGAAACAGGUGCUAAUACCGCUUAACCAUGAACACCGCAUGAUGUUCAUGUAAAAGACGGCUUUUGCUGUCACUUUUGGAUGGGCCUGCGGCGUAUUAACUUGUUGGUGGGGUAACGGCCUACCAAGGUGAUGAUACGUAGCCGAACUGAGAGGUUGAUCGGCCACAUUGGGACUGAGACACGGCCCAAACUCCUACGGGAGGCAGCAGUAGGGAAUCUUCCACAAUGGACGAAAGUCUGAUGGAGCAACGCCGCGUGAAUGAAGAAGGCCUUCGGGUCGUAAAAUUCUGUUGUCAGAGAAGAACGUGCGUGGGAGUAACUGUUCACGUAUUGACGGUAUCUGACCAGAAAGCCACGGCUAACUACGUGCCAGCAGCCGCGGUAAUACGUAGGUGGCAAGCGUUGUCCGGAUUUAUUGGGCGUAAAGGGAACGCAGGCGGUCUUUUAAGUCUGAUGUGAAAGCCUUCGGCUUAACCGAAGUAGUGCAUUGGAAACUGGAAGACUUGAGUGCAGAAGAGGAGAGUGGAACUCCAUGUGCAGCGGUGAAAUGCGUAGAUAUAUGGAAGAACACCAGUGGCGAAAGCGGCUCUCUGGUCUGUAACUGACGCUGAGGUUCGAAAGCGUGGGUAGCAAACAGGAUUAGAUACCCUGGUAGUCCACGCCGUAAACGAUGAGUGCUAAGUGUUGGAGGGUUUCCGCCCUUCAGUGUUGCAGCUAACGCAUUAAGCACUCCGCCUGG